GGGUGAUAGGAUGUGACGUGUCCUCGAGUCCACUGAAACUGGUGUAAACGCGGACUGCUUUACUGAAAAGCACAAAGCUUCUCAUCAGCCAGUGAAAUAACUGGUUAAAUUAGUGGAAAUGGGCUUUAUGUUGCCUGCAAUCAUUUGAAGAUUAGCAGCGUGGACUACUACAUAUGCCACAGAUCAUCAGCGGUGUGUCCGAUAUACCAGUGUUCUUUUGGAAACCCUUCCUCUGCUGUGACAACAUCAAAGCAUCACUUUACAUCUUUGUUUUAGAAGAUACAAUACCAGUCAAAAGCUUCAGUACCACAGAUUUUAGGAGUAUCUAUGCAUAUUAGUUUAGUUAUUUGUGUGUUUACUUAAAAAAGGAAGAUUAUAGAUGGGUUUGACAGGAUAUGUAAUUUUUAUUGCAAAUAAUUAAAUGUUGUAAAAUUCCAAUAAAAUUAAAACCAAAAACAUAAACCAAAAUGACUUGUAACAGUGUUAGAACACUGACUGGAUCGACUUGUAAGAAGCAUGAAAACUAAAUGACCUGCUUUGUACAGUUUUUAAUAAGAGGUGAAGGUUAAUUAAAUGAACAGUACAUGUCAGUUGAAACAGUAACAUUUCUGUAAAUAACGGAAGAGAAAAUGGCAAAACGCACUCAGUUAAGCAGAGAAAAAAGAGCGUCUGUAGUUGCUUUAAGAAAUGAGGGCCAAACAUUAAGACAAAUAGCCAAAGCACUUCAAGUGUCUGUAAGUGCUGUGGCGAAGACUAUCAAACGUGUUCAAGAAACUGGUACUUACGAAGAUAGAGCCAGGUCAGGUAGACCAAAGGCCACCUCAGAAUUAGAAAAUAAGUUUAUUGAAGUCGUAAGUCUACAAGACGGCCAAAACCAGUUAAGCGCACCCAAAAUUCAGGCAAAGCUAAAUGCUCAUAGAAAUUCAGUUGUUUCGAUAUCAACCAUUAAGAGAAGACUGCGAGAAGCUGGUUUAUCUAAACGGCAGAAACACAGAAAAAGUAUAGCUGAGGCCAAAACUGCAGAGAAAAUGGAGAACUGUGAAGCUGAUGUCGCCUCCACUGUAUAGAUUACCAGUCUUUGUUCAUUUGAGACGUUUAAAUGUAAGGAUAAUGCUUAAGUUAUGAAUUUUUUGUUCUGAGAAAAAUGACACUUUUGUUGCUUCUGUAUAAACUGGAUAAAAUUCCAAAAUCAAAAUCAGUUUAUCUACCCUCCAACAAAUAGCCAGACAUGGUGCACUUUAUAUCCGUUGUUCACAUAGUGAAUUUCUUUCAAUUUCACUGUUAUUCUAAAAUGUGUGCAUUUUUUGGAAGGGCCAAGGGGUGGAUGAUGUAAAAAAUGUCUUGAGUUUUGCCAAACAUUGUCAUUUGCCAAAAUGUCCUGAGAUAAAGGAUUUAUCUUCUGAUGAAUCAUGCCCCCUUGCCAUGAGCGUGCUGACCAGUGUUCAGCCUCACUCACAAGAUAACACCUCACAACUUAUACAAGCUGUUUUCAGUGGCAACAUUUAAUGAUCAGUUUAAUCCAUGACUUGACAUAAACACACCAACACAUUAAAAAUAGAUAAUAAAUGUCUGAUUAAGAAAUAAAUAACGACUAACUCAUAAUAAUAACAUGCCUCCAAUAACUUUAAUUUGAUGGAAGAUGCCUAGUCUUGGACUACACAACUAUUUGAAUGGGGAUUUUCUAUUGAAAGAAAAAUGUAGUCUAGGACUACAUUUAGGCUUUGUCCCUCUUUGGGAAACAGACACAAAACAUAGGACCUAAUUAUUUUGACUGGUAUUGUACGUUGAUGCUCAUCCAAAUAAACAGCCAUGGGUUAUCUACACUUCUGCCAGGAUGAUAAAUGCAACUGUAAAGAUGAAUUCCAGCCAACCCAUUCUGAAAACAUCAUCCCAAGCUGUCUACAUGCCUUUCCAACUAUUUCAUGUUAAUGUCCAGACAGUCCUUUCUACGUGACUUCCUGAUCUCUCAGGGUUCUGAUGUGAGGAGUAAAUCUGAGCCAUCUUCUUUUGCCUCCUCCUCUUUAUCUUAAGGAGCAUGGAAGAGGGUCGAGUAACAUUUCUGUGGCCACAGGCACAGAAGAAGCAGAGCAGGAAGAUCUGUUUUCUGUGUGUGGAGAUGAAGCAGGAGAAAAGACUCAGCAUCACAAUAAUGGACACAAUGCACAGGUUUAUAGAGCAAGAGGAACCAGACAUGGAACACGGACACAAACACACAGUUUACCAAAAGUGGCUUAUAAACCCCUUCAUCCAGCAGGUGCUUGAUCUUUGGUGUCUGAAUCAGUCAGCAAAAUGAGUUUACCAAAGUGCACAUUGGUAAAUGAUGAACAUCAUACACAUGAAACAUAUCCAAAAAAAAUAAAUUUUCCAAAGGAACUUGUAAUUUGACAAGACCCUUGUCUUACUAAUACUGAUGCAUAAAAUAAGUAAUUUCUAUGAUAAUUGUAUGUAUAUUUAAUCUGUUUAGAUAAUUUGUAUUUGAGGUUGUUAAUGUUUGGAGUCAUGUAUGAUUAAAACCAUGAUAUUUUCAAAUGGGCUUAAUGGUUGUAAAACACCUCAGUUGCAUGAUCUGGACCUCUAAAAAUUGUCACCAUGGAAUAGUAUUUGGGAGAUGUAAAUAGCUUAAGGAUGUCUUUUUUUAUGUAUUUUUUUGAAAACAUAUCCACUAUAAAAACCUGCGUCUUAAGAACAACAAGAGUGGUUGAAUUACAGACUUCACAAGUCUCCCAGAAUCUAGAUUGAGUGGCCCAAGAGUGACCACAAACAUGCACGCAGGCGACACAGACUUUUUUCUCCAGUCGCGUGUGUGAAAGAGAGGAAGAGAAAGGUGCUCCCCUCGUGUCCAUAUUCAUGAAGCGCAUACAAAACAGAGAGGGUUCUGAUUGGCCUGUUCUUUGCAAAGUCUGAGUCAGCCAGUCAGAACAGGAUGCGUUCAGGAGCAUCAUGGCUCCUAUCAAAACUUGUUUCACUGCCGAAACUAGCACAGGGGUUGGACAAUGAAACUGAAACACCUGUCAAUUUAGUGUGUGAGGUUUCAUGGCUUAAUUGGGGCAGCCUGGUGGCCAAUCUUCAUUAAUUGCACAUUGCACCAGUAAGAGCAGAGUGUGAAGGUUCAAUUAGCAGGGUAAGAGCACAGUUUUGCGCAAAAUAUUGCAAUGCACACAACAUUAUGGGUGACAUACAGAGUUCAAAAGAGGACAAAUUGUUGGUGCACGUCUUGCUGGCGCAUCUGUGACCAAGACAGCCAUAUAUAUAUGGAAAAGAUAAAGUUCUAUUAUCCUUUAGUUUGUGCCUGAGGAUUUUUGUUUUGGGGCAGGUGAUCGUUGGGGGUCCAAAUCAAGGUCCAGGGGUACCUCCCUAAAAUAAAUGUUUGCAACUUAGGAUGUCUGGAUUUCAUAUUGUUAUGAUUAAUCUGAUUUAAAAUAUAUAUAUUUAUUUUUGACACCACUAAUAUAAACUCAAACAAACAAACAAAAAUAAAUUAUGUAUUAAAUCCUCCGCUCUGUAGGUGGCGGUAGUAAAAUAAUAAGUGGAGUUCAGAUCUACAGAAAUGACCGAAAAAUAGAAGCAGAUGUGGAAGUCGUGGCAGAAAACGCCCCCUGUUAGUUCUCUCAGCCUUCACACACACACCCUGCUGUCUUUUAUCAUGUGAACGUUUGCAGCGUAGAGCUCCAGCGGUGUGUUCUGUCUCACUGUGUGUAGCUUCAAAGCCUGCAGUGUCUUUUGUGAAAAACCCUCAUCUUUGCUCUGAAGAUAUCAGCGUAUCUUUUGGCGUCUUCUUUUAAGCUUCAGUACCAGUCAAAAGCAUCAGUACCACUGAACUAUUACUCAUCAUACAUGUUUACUUUGUUUUCUGCAGGUUAACUAGUAAAAUAACUCAUAAGUUUCCAAUCAGUUAUUGUAAUAGAUUCUUAGCAGGCAAGGAUUCAUUACUGUAGAUAUAUAUACACAGUACUCUGCAAAAUUCUGGUUUAUUUUGUGAUGUAAAUUUAAUUGGGAAAAUUAUAUAUAACAGAAUAUAAAAACAGUAUUUCAGUAAUCCAACCUUUAUUUAUGUGCAACCUACUGAAACUUUAACUCCACUCUUCCUAUUCUAAAUCAUUAAGAUCUAUUUAUUCCAGACACACAUUAACUGACCUGCAAAUAUCUGUUGUGUGUGUUUAACAAUGGAUGAAGGAGAAAUUUCUAAAGAGACUAAAUAUGAGAUAAUCCACUUGCAUGAAGAAGGGAGAGGUCUGAGGAAAAUAAGUGAAAAAACAGGAGUUUCUAAAUCUGAUCUUAAAAAUAUCAUUCAGAAACAUGAAGAAAACGAGACUCUUAAAAUAACUAAAGGCAGAAUCUCUGAGGAGAUUAGAUACAAGAUCAUCCACUUGCAUAAAGAAGGGCAGAGUCAGCGGAAAAUAAGUGAGAAAACAGGCGUUUCCAAAACCGGAAUUCAAAAAAUUAUUAAAAGGUAUAAAGAAAACGGGACCCCUAACAACCGUGCCAGAUCAGGAAGACCACCAAAACUGUCGCCAUCAGACAAAAUGUACCUGCAGCUUUCAUCUCUGGUGGACAGGACAAGAUCGUGCUCAACUCUGGCCUCAGAUUUGAAAAUAUGCACAGGGGUUUCUGUUCAUCCUGCCACUGUGAGAAAACAGCUUAAGGCUAUGGGUCUAAAAGGAUGUGUAAGGAAGUCGUCAGCGAAAAAAGAUACCGUUACCAAAGAAGAAACUGUACACUAGGACACUUACUGGACAUUUGGAGAGAGGUUUAAGGACUGCAGAUCUAUACAUUAAGAGAUCUUAACAGAAGUAACAGAAAUAACAGAAGGCAGUAUGUACACAAUCAAAGUCAAAAUACUCUUCUUACCAUCUCUACAACAAUCUGUAAAGCAUGGUGGAGGAUGAGUACUAAUUUGUGGAUGUAUCAUAAUACUUAAACACCAGUUACUGAAUUCUUAAUGAGGGUUAGUACCAACAAACAAUAUGCAAUAUAUGGUAUUUAUUUUUUGUUUAUUUUUACUGGGCUCCUCCUACAGUCCAAGGUUUAUUCUGCUUUAAUCCUCAAAAAAAAAAUAACAUACAUUUUUGGUCAAGCUGAAAGAUAAAAAAAAAAAAAACACUAAAAUAAAAUAUUACCAUAUUUUACACAGUUAUGACUUAUGGCUUAUUCAGCAUUACGCAGUUCUCGUGAAAGUUACCUUGGCAGCUUUUCAAAAGUUAGCUUUUCAAAAACAUAGUGCAGGUAGCAGCAUGCCAAGCCUAAAGUAGCAACUAUGAAGCAGUCAUUUUCUCUAUUUGAGAGGCCUUUGGAGAACUGGAUGAUUUUAAAGCUCCUAAAGUAGCUCCUAAACUAGCACAGCUAAAUGUUACUAGAAAAGUAGAUGUGUCAAUGGUUCAGGCCAAAAGAAGUUAUUUGAGAGCUGUGAAAUGAAGGUCAGGUUCAUUGUAUCUAAUGAUUACCAGCCACAUUUACAGACACCUGCUUUUAUAUAGUUGAUACUUUUGACUGGUACUGUACUUUGUCCACUUAAGUAUGUUGUUUGGCCAGACUGAUGGAGACACUUGACACAUUGAAGAUGUCCUCUGGAAAUCUGCACAGAUGCCACCAUCAAUGAGUUUUCCUUCAGACUGAAUGGCAAAUUCACUAGUUGAUUCAACUCAUCCCUGUGACAAUCCCUGUGAAUAAAAAUGGUAGUGAAAGAGGGAUACGACAUACAGAAGGUGAUGGAUAUGGCUCAUACUGCACGAGAACUCAAGGAGUUUGCAGAAUGGAGUCUUCAGAGCUCAGUUAGAGCUCCUGCAACAUCUUAAACACUUGUGGUUCACCUAAGGAUUAAUUUCUUUUUAUGUCAUGCUGUAAUUGAUACAGCAUUAAUGCUCGAGAUACAACAUUGAUGCUCAACUGUCAGAACUGCAAUCUGUUACUCUCAGUCUACCUAGCUCUACCCAUCUACCUGUACAAAAACCUGUACAGAAAGUGGAAUGCAAGAAAACAGACUGCGGAUACCAGAAGACAUAUUCCUACUACCCUGGGACUUUCACAAAGUGCUUGUAGCAUCCUACAAUAUGUGUUUUAUUUGAAUGAUAACUGUACAUUUAUAAUUUGUAAAUAUUUAAUCUGUCAAAUUUGCUGAAGUGCUGUAGGAGAUGCUGUUAAUGUUUGAUGCUGUGUAUAAUAAAAUCAUAUUUUGGAAAUUAAGAAUAACUUCCUUGAAUGUGAAAAAAAUGCAAGUUACAUGAUGUGCACAGAUUAUGAAUAUUCCGUUUAUAUUCGUUUCCUUCAAAGAAUAUACUCUACAACAUUCACAUUAGUCCUGAAGGACACUUUUUUGGUCUUUGAACUGGUAAAAUUGGGGUAACGUCCACUUGAUAUCAUGGAUCUGCAGUUAUCAACCUCUUAUGUCUGCCUAUGUUUAGUUGUGUUUUGUUGACUGUGGCUCCUACAGCUAAGCUGACCUGAAAACAUGGUGGUCUAACAGGCAUUGUUAUCUUAUACCAUUCACUCUGUUGCUGUUACUUACUUAUUGUAUCUGAUCAACAUUCCUUUGAUAGACUUAGGAUUUUUGUUAAUAAUAAUGCAUCAGUUUUUUUUAAAUACAAAGAAUUUACAGUGUUGUCACGUCUCAAAUAGAAAACUGUCUUUUUUAUAUUUGACCACUAGAGGGCAUGAGAGUAGUUUUAAAAUGUGGAUGGCAUAUAUAUAUGUGUGUUAUUUAUAAAUUAAGCUCCAUGCUAUGAAAGGACUAGAAAUAAAAUAUUUUUC
Molecule: long non-coding RNA, 6744 nt
Organism: Astyanax mexicanus (Mexican tetra)
Lineage: Eukaryota; Metazoa; Chordata; Actinopteri; Characiformes; Acestrorhamphidae
Exons: 5
Source: RefSeq, a predicted model, not a curated record